RNAcentral lists this long non-coding RNA (1079 nucleotides) under Nicotiana benthamiana. Its description in RNAcentral is "long non-coding RNA (NBEN_LNC041208)". Lineage: Eukaryota; Viridiplantae; Streptophyta; Magnoliopsida; Solanales; Solanaceae. The record is from RNAcentral.
CUUGAGGGGGAGUGUUAGAAGUGUAAAUAUAGUAGAACUCUAAUCCAAAGUGUAUUAGGAGUAGGUUAGGUUAUGUGUAUUAUAUAUAGGGCUCAUUCUAUCAUGUUUUAAUAUCAAUAUAUAUUUUUCUCCCGUGCUUUCUCACAUCGAGCAUGGUUCCUGGGGGGUUUUUGAGACACUGAUAUGUAUGGUGCAAGAUGUCUUGUCCGCUUCUAUAUGAUUUGCCAUGUUGUUAGUCGAAGCAUUCUUUUCUGACUCCGUUGUUUGAACUUUUACUUGCAGCCUGGAAACUUUUCUGAAACAGUUUUAACACUUGAAAAGGGACAUUACAAGGCUGGGAGUAUGGUUGACUGUUCUGGUCAUUAGAUGCAGCUUCCUGCAGUUUUUAAAGAAUGGAUGCAGGAGUGUUGAUAUUAGUCGCUUGAUUAUAUAGCGCGCUGAUCUUUCCCGGUGGAGCAGGGAACAACAUCAAAUAUUUUUAGUCAUUACUUACAGAGCAGGAAGCUCAAAAUUUCUGUGCUUCAUGUUUUUUUCAUCUCAAAUUCUCAGCGCGCUGUUUUAUGCCCCUCUUGUUCCAUUAGAGAUGUAAAAAUGGUCAUGUUUUUUUCUUCUCCCUUUUUUUACCCUUCAAGUAACUUUGCUGGAAGUGAAGUACGGUUCAGGCUUGAUUAACAUUCUACUUGUGAAUAUUUCCUUGAUAUAUGAACACGUUACACGUCACUGGGAAAUAUAGCGAAUAACAUUGCCCUGACCCAGGAGAAUCUUAUGUUUAUCAUUGACUAUCCAGGUUCUGAAUUUGAGAACUACACUCUCCAUGCUCCUCAACACUAUCUUAGCUUCAUUUGAGGAAAAAACAACUACCCAGUAUAGUCCCACAAAGUGGGGUCUGGGGAGGGUAAUAUGUAGACGGGCAUUACUCCUAUCCGAAAGGGCAGAGAGCCUGUUUCCAAUCGUUCCUCGGCUCAGUGAAGGAAAGGAAUAAUAAAAACAAAAACACAACAAAAGAGCAUUAGUAGCUUCAGCAGAAAUAGAGUAAAUAAUUAUCUAAACAUAACAACCAUAAAUAAAGUAGUAUUUCA